CAGUACAAGAGGAACAUGUUGGUGUGAAAGGCCAGUGGUCUCAGCCAGGCCUGAGUAAACAGAUUUUCUUUCUUAAAUUCCUACUGAUGGAGAAAGUAAGGAUUCUGGUGUGGCAAAAAAAAAAAAAAAAAGUAACUUGUCACUUAGUAAUUCAUGUGGAAAGAGACCUAGCCUACAAGAGGACAUUGUCAGCUGA
Molecule: long non-coding RNA, 196 nt
Organism: Cygnus olor (mute swan)
Lineage: Eukaryota; Metazoa; Chordata; Aves; Anseriformes; Anatidae
Exons: 3
Source: RefSeq, a predicted model, not a curated record